RNAcentral lists this ribosomal RNA (492 nucleotides) under uncultured bacterium. RNAcentral describes it as "partial 16S ribosomal RNA". It matches the Rfam family "Bacterial small subunit ribosomal RNA", at positions 29 to 507 of the family's 1533-position model. The record is from RNAcentral.
AGUGAACGCUGGCGGUAGGCCUAACACAUGCAAGUCGAACGGCAGCACAGUAAGAGCUUGCUCUUACGGGUGGCGAGUGGCGGACGGGUGAGGAAUACAUCGGAAUCUACUUUUUCGUGGGGGAUAACGUAGGGAAACUUACGCUAAUACCGCAUACGACCUACGGGUGAAAGCAGGGGAUCUUCGGACCUUGCCCGAUUGAAUGAGCCGAUGUCGGAUUAGCUAGUUGGCGGGGUAAAGGCCCACCAAGGCGACGAUCCGUAGCUGGUCUGAGAGGAUGAUCAGCCACACUGGAACUGAGACACGGUCCAGACUCCUACGGGAGGCAGCAGUGGGGAAUAUUGGACAAUGGGCGAAAGCCUGAUCCAGCCAUACCGCGUGGGUGAAGAAGGCCUUCGGGUUGUAAAGCCCUUUUGUUGGGAAAGAAAAGCAGCAGGUUAAUACCCCGCUGUUCUGACGGUACCCAAAGAAUAAGCACCGGCUAACUUCGUG